Molecule: ribosomal RNA, 432 nt
Filed under: uncultured bacterium
Lineage: Bacteria
Description: partial 16S ribosomal RNA
Rfam family: Bacterial small subunit ribosomal RNA
Source: RNAcentral
AACGAACGCUGGCGGCAUGCCUAACACAUGCAAGUCGAACGAGACCUUCGGGUCUAGUGGCGCACGGGUGCGUAACGCGUGGGAACCUGCCCUUAGGUUCGGAAUAACUCCCCGAAAGGGGUGCUAAUACCGGAUAAUGUCUUCGGACCAAAGAUUUAUCGCCUUUGGAUGGGCCCGCGUUGGAUUAGCUAGUUGGUAGGGUAAAAGCCUACCAAGGCGACGAUCCAUAGCUGGUCUGAGAGGAUGAUCAGCCACACUGGGACUGAGACACGGCCCAGACUCCUACGGGAGGCAGCAGUGGGGAAUAUUGAACAAUGGGCGAAAGCCUGAUCCAGCAAUGCCGCGUGAGUGAUGAAGGCCUUAGGUUGUAAAGCUCUUUUACCCGGGAUGAUAAUGACAGUACCGGGAGAAUAAGCUCCGGCUAACUCCGUG